Molecule: non-coding RNA, 22 nt
Filed under: Arabidopsis thaliana (thale cress)
Lineage: Eukaryota; Viridiplantae; Streptophyta; Magnoliopsida; Brassicales; Brassicaceae
Also listed under: 1 other name
Source: RNAcentral
CUGAAGUGUUUGGGGGAACUCC